GACGAACGCUGGCGGCGUGCUUAACACAUGCAAGUCGAACGGAAAGGCCCUGCUUUUGUGGGGUGCUCGAGUGGCGAACGGGUGAGUAACACGUGAGUAACCUGCCCUUGACUUUGGGAUAACUUCAGGAAACUGGGGCUAAUACCGGAUAGGAGCUCCUGCUGCAUGGUGGGGGUUGGAAAGUUUCGGCGGUUGGGGAUGGACUCGCGGCUUAUCAGCUUGUUGGUGGGGGAGUGGCUUACCAAGGCUUUGACGGGUAGCCGGCCUGAGAGGGUGACCGGCCACAUUGGGACUGAGAUACGGCCCAGACGCCUACGGGAGGCAGCAGUGGGGAAUAUUGCACAAUGGGCGGAAGCCUGAUGCAGCAACGCCGCGUGCGGGAUGACGGCCUUCGGGUUGUAAACCGCUUUCGCCUGUGACGAAGCGUGAGUGACGGUAAUGGGUAAAGAAGCACCGGCUAACUACGUG
Molecule: ribosomal RNA, 468 nt
Filed under: uncultured bacterium
Lineage: Bacteria
Description: partial 16S ribosomal RNA
Rfam family: Bacterial small subunit ribosomal RNA
Source: RNAcentral